AAAAAAAAAAAAAAAAGCUCCUUCUUUAGCUGCUCUGCCAGGGCCCAACAACCCCUGAGUGUCCCAAACAGUGUUUUAAAGUUUGUGUCUUUGCCCCACUGCAUUUAUUUAUUCAUUUCCCUCGGAUAACAAGCACACAGAUGCAGUUCCGUGGCCGCUGUGAAACAGGGACAGCUUUUUUUCCCUCCCCAAAAAAAGGCACUUCCCUGUUGUGUGGCUAUGGAAGGUGUGAGUUUUGGCUUUAAAAGUUCUCCUUAACCCAUCCUGAAUUGGACGCCUGAACUUGAUUAAUGAGGGUUCAAUCUAAUGAAUUUAUUUAAUAAAUGAAUUCAAUUAAGGGUCUUUAUCUUUUUUUCCUAAAUUUUAACCAAAACCCGCCAAAAUGCCCAAGUUUAAUUUUUCUAGUCUGGGGGUUGCAAGGGGUGGGGUGUCUGUUUACUUUUUCUUAAGAAUAUUUUCAGAAAUUCGGAGUUUAUUUUCACACAGUUUAUUUUCACAUUUGGCUGAAAAAGACCUUUUUUUUUUUUUUCCACUACCCAUUUGAUAUAAAAAACCCACCAAUUCCUUUCAAGUGGGGGAAACGCAAACUGGCCCAAGUCCCUGGUUGGGUUUGAAGGGAGGGCUCUGAGGUUGCUUUUGUGUUCCUGGCUUUAGCAGCUGCUUCCCUGGAUGCCCCCAGUGUCUGCUCUGCAUCCAGGGCCGGCUGCCUGGAAUCCCUUCCCUGGCUUUGCCUCCUUUCCUGCUGCACCAGCUUCAGCUCCAGGAGCUCAGGUAUUUUUCCCUCUUCUCCCAGAGAUAACAGAGGGGCCUGGAGCCUCGUUUGCUGUCGCUGCUGAGCACAUGUCCUCGUGUGAAAAGUGGGGUUUCCUUCCCCUGCAGUUGUGGUUGUGCUCAGUGACAAACAGCUGACAAAUUCUUUGCGGGAUCUUUGUGUUUCUUCAGCCGUUUUUCAGUCUCCAGACCUGCCUUUUAAUUUCCAUUUUAGUUCUUUAACUCCUCUCUCCCUCUGUUAAGGCCGUGGCACCCGACUGGCAAAGUCACCCUGGCUGAGUGUGGCAACUUUAACCCCCAGUCUGGCCUGAAUUUAGGACCCCACAGUGACCCGUCCUUGGGCGCUGCCAGGUCACCUCGCUGUGCCUGUGCCGUUCUCUCCCAGCCGGGCGGGUGAGGAUGUGCCUGGAAUGGGAACAUCCCGGCGGUGCAGCAGGAGCUCGGCGAUGCUCUGGCUCCCUUUGGUGGCCGACAGCUCCUAUAACUACCACCUCCAGCGCUCUGGCUUUGGAAACGCGGCCCUGCAGCGUCUCCCGACGAGGUGAUUAUUAACAGUAAUAAAGAAUUCCUUCACGGAAA
Molecule: long non-coding RNA, 1350 nt
Organism: Pipra filicauda (Wire-tailed manakin)
Lineage: Eukaryota; Metazoa; Chordata; Aves; Passeriformes; Pipridae
Exons: 2
Source: RefSeq, a predicted model, not a curated record